GUUAAGAUGGCAGAGCCCGGACACUGCAAGGGGCCUAAACCCCCUUUACAGGGGUUCAAAUCCCCUUCUUAACC
This 74-nucleotide transfer RNA is filed under the name Lophotus capellei (unicornfish). RNAcentral describes it as "tRNA-Leu". It matches the Rfam family "tRNA". Rfam says of the family: Transfer RNA (tRNA) molecules are approximately 80 nucleotides in length. Their secondary structure includes four short double-helical elements and three loops (D, anti-codon, and T loops). Further hydrogen bonds mediate the characteristic L-shaped molecular structure. tRNAs have two regions of fundamental functional importance: the anti-codon, which is responsible for specific mRNA codon recognition, and the 3' end, to which the tRNAs corresponding amino acid is attached (by aminoacyl-tRNA synthetases). tRNAs cope with the degeneracy of the genetic code in two manners: having more than one tRNA (with a specific anti-codon) for a particular amino acid; and 'wobble' base-pairing, i.e. permitting non-standard base-pairing at the 3rd anti-codon position. The record is from RNAcentral. Lineage: Eukaryota; Metazoa; Chordata; Actinopteri; Lampriformes; Lophotidae.